RNAcentral lists this ribosomal RNA (879 nucleotides) under uncultured bacterium. Its description in RNAcentral is "bacterial SSU rRNA". It matches the Rfam family "Bacterial small subunit ribosomal RNA", at positions 8 to 916 of the family's 1533-position model. The record is from RNAcentral.
AGAGUUUGAUCAUGGCUCAGGAUGAACGCUGGCGGCGUGCCUAACACAUGCAAGUCGAGCGAUUCUCUUCGGAGAAGAGCGGCGGACGGGUGAGUAACGCGUGGGUAACCUGCCCUGUACACACGGAUAACAUACCGAAAGGUAUGCUAAUACGAGAUAAUAUGCUUUUGUCGCAUGGUAGAAGUAUCAAAGCUUUUGCGGUACAGGAUGGACCCGCGUCUGAUUAGCUAGUUGGUAAGGUAACGGCUUACCAAGGCGACGAUCAGUAGCCGACCUGAGAGGGUGAUCGGCCACAUUGGAACUGAGACACGGUCCAAACUCCUACGGGAGGCAGCAGUGGGGAAUAUUGCACAAUGGGCGAAAGCCUGAUGCAGCAACGCCGCGUGAGCGAUGAAGGCCUUCGGGUCGUAAAGCUCUGUCCUCAAGGAAGAUAAUGACGGUACUUGAGGAGGAAGCCCCGGCUAACUACGAGCCAGCAGCCGCGGUAAUACGUAGGGGGCUAGCGUUAUCCGGAAUUACUGGGCGUAAAGGGUGCGUAGGUGGUUUCUUAAGUCAGAGGUGAAAGGCUACGGCUCAACCGUAGUAAGCCUUUGAAACUGGGAAACUUGAGUGCAGGAGAGGAGAGUGGAAUUCCUAGUGUAGCGGUGAAAUGCGUAGAUAUUAGGAGGAACACCAGUUGCGAAAGCGGCUCUCUGGACUGUAACUGCCACUGAGGCACGAAAGCGUGGGGAGCAAACAGGAUUAGAUACCCUGGUAGUCCACGCCGUAAACGAUGAGUACUAGCUGUCGGAGGUUACCCCCUUCGGUGGCGCAGCUAACGCAUUAAGUACUCCGCCUGGGAAGUACGCUCGCAUGAGUGAAACUCAAAGGAAUUGACGG